This 220-nucleotide unclassified non-coding RNA is filed under the name plant metagenome. RNAcentral describes it as "partial contains small subunit ribosomal RNA, internal transcribed spacer 1, and 5.8S ribosomal RNA". The record is from RNAcentral.
UUUCCGUAGGUGAACCUGCGGAAGGAUCAUUACAGAGUUCAUGCCCUCACGGGUAGAUCUCCCACCCUUGAAUAUUUAUACCUUAGUUGCUUUGGCAGGACGUGGAAACACCAUGGGCUCCGGCUUAUGCGUGCCUGCCAGAGGAAACACACUCUGUUUUUAGUGAUGUCUGAGUACUAUAUAAUAGUUAAAACUUUCAACAACGGAUCUCUUGGUUCUG